GCUCUCUUGCCCACCCAGCUCCUGGCUUCUUCUAUCUCUACUAUGUUCACUCUUCCAUGCCCAGCUGGACAUGAGAUGGUGUGGUUUGCAAAUAUUCUGCUACUCUAGGGCCCAUCUCCCUGUAGUCUCCCCACUGCCCCAACACUGAAGUCUUAGCACGCCCCCCAUCCCCAGACUGCUCUUCUCUGCCAUAAGCCUGUCAAGGCCCUCCUCUUCCAAGAAGAUGGCUCUUAUCACACCAGUCCUCUUUCUUUCCAUUCACUCCCUGUAAUUUUGAUUCAGCUCACAUCCAUGCUGCUUGGUGCUUUUUGAAAUUCCAUGGAAUGUUCCUAUUGCAUGAUGCCUACUAUGGACUGAAUUUGUGUCUCCCCUAAAUUCACAGGGAAAUGCUCUCCUGACCUCAAUGUGACUAUAUAGUCUGACCUCCAUGUAUAUCUGUGGAUUUUGUACUCAUGGAUUCAACCAACAGAAGUUUGAAAAUAUUUGGAAAAACAAUUUAUGUUCUUGCUGACAGGUACUGUAUAAUUUGGCCUUUUAUGGCUGCACCUGAACUGAACAUGCACAGAGACAUUUUUUCUUGUCAUUAUUUCCCAAACAAUACAUAAACAACAAUUUAUUUAGCAUUUACGUUGUAUUAGCUGCAAGUAAUCUACAGCUGAUUUAAAAUACACAGGAGGAUAUGUGUAGACUAUGUGCAAAUACUACACCAUUUUAUAUCCCCACUGCCAGGUGGAUCUGCUCUCUCAUUUAUUUAUGGUACUUGAGUACUCUUGGAUUUUGGCACCCAAGAAGGAGUCCUGAAACCAAUCUCCCAUGGUAUACUGAGGAAUGACUAUACUUGGACAUAGGGCUUUUAGAAGGUGAUUAAAGUUAAAUGAGUUAUAAGCAUGAAAUUUUAAUCCGAUAGAAUUGAUGGCCUUAUAAAGAAGAGAUAGGAAGAGGAAGACAGAGAGAACUCUUCCCCUACCCCAAACUCCAGCACACAUUUGAAGACACAAUGACAAGGUAGCCAUCCACAACCAGGAAGAAGGUCCUCACCAGAACCUGAUUGUGCUGGCAUCUGAUCUCCACUUUCAGCCUCCAGUGAGAAAAUAAAUGUCUAUUGUUUUGUUACAGCAGCCCAAAUUGACUAAGACAGUGUAUGUUUUGAUAAACUCUUUGCUACUAGGCCAGAUUGUUGUUGGUGUUUUUAAGAAAUUUCACUGCUGGUUAAAUGCAUCUACAAAGACACUCAGAACAUAUCAGAACAGAGCUGUUGCAUGUUCACAAACUGGGCACACUGAGUGACCGGUAUCUGAGACAAGGGCAGCAUAACAUUAGCACCUGCAAGGUCUCCUGCACCCCACACCAGCCUCAACCAGCCCCAACAGAAACCACCAUUCUGAUUUCCAAGCACGGAUGGUUUUGCCUGGUUUUGUACCUUUUGGAAACAGAACCAUGCUGUAUUCUCUCUUUUGUGUCUGGCUUCUCUUGCCCCCCCAUUUCAUGGUGACAUUCAUCCAUAUUGUUUUUCAUGGUUGUAGACUAUUCAUUCUUAUUGGUAUACGACAAUCCACUGCGGGAAUAGAUCACCAUGUAUUUAUUUCUCCACUUGCUGGCUGAGGGGCAUUUGGAAAGUCUCUGGUUUUAGCCAUUACAAGUAGUGCUGCCAUAGAAAUUCCAGGAGUGCAGAUGCUUGGGUCACAAGAUGUGCAUAUGCUCAGCUUCCAUGGGUACUGCCAAACAGUUUUCCAAAGUAAUCAAAUUGCUUUGCCAGCCAUUACUUACCAGCCAUCUGUGAGAAGAGCUAUUUUUUGGUUCUCCUCUAUGCCUUUGUCAUAGUAAGGAGUAGAUGCAGGGUAUUCAAGAAACACUUGCUAAAUGAGUAGAGAGAAUUUUCUUAAUGUUCAGCCAUACCUGUGAAUGAAACAGGGGGGUUAAUCAGGAACUCAGCAUAUUUAGGAACUCCUAUUAGCCAUGGGGAAAAAAAUUGCUCUUUUUGUUUGAGUCUGGUUGGGAAAGCUGUGGCCACAUCUCUAACUCCCUGUUUUCUGGAUUACUCCAUUAAACAUCUGUGAUGGAAAUUUCCUUGGAGAAGGAGCCUAGCACUGCAAUGAUGCGGAACCCCUGUUCUUUCCUCUCUUCAGAUAUUUCUAAGCAGUAAAGCAGAAAGUUGAGAGGAAGUUAGAGGCAAGGGGGAAUCAAUCAUGCAGCUUGGGAAGCCAUGUUCAAGGAUGAAGGAGGAAGACAGGAUGCAAAGAGUGGUCCGUUGGAAGGUCACUUUGGGAGAAGGGCAGAAAUGGCAGGAGCAAGGCCUGUUGCCCCCACCAGUUCUGAUCACGUGCACACUGUCUACAACUUGUGCCUCAGCAAAGCUCCUGGAAUUCCAAAGAGAGGAAGGGUGAGGCCAGCGGAAGCUGCUACCCACGUGACAAGUGAUCAGUCCCAUUGAAAAAUAGAGAAGUUCUUGCAAGGAACCCAGCAGAUUUCCUAUCCCAGCAUCCCGCAGGGAAGAAAGCUCCCAGCAGCUCUCCCCUCCCUUUUCUGGAUACACACCAGGUUCAGUGCUCCUUUUAAAAAUGUUCAGGUUGGAAGACGGAACCAGAAGAACAGAUGGGGUCCCUCUAAUACUCAGACCACACAACGGGAGCUUUAUCUUCCUUGAUAGGAAGUUAAAUUUUUAUUAAUAUCACAUAAAGAUUUUAAUUAGCUUUUUGGGGGGCAAUUAUGUUGUCAAUUCAUACUGAGUUUGUGGUGAACUGAAAAACCUGUCUACAUUUUUUUUCUUCAAUUUAAGUUGCUGUCCUUCCUAGUUGGCCUCUUGCAACAUUUUUUUAAGGCCUAAUUUUAAUACUUAUAUUUCCUUUUUCUUUUUUUUUCCAUCACCCAGAUUAGGCCUAGAACCUUGGUAACCAUUGAUAAGCCAACAGGUGCCCUUACUUUCCCCUGGCAACUUCUCAAAUCCUUCCUUUUCUUGGACAUAGUCUCUUUGCUCAUCCCCUCACCUGGAAGCCUCUGUCCUUCUCUCCACACUUCCAACCCCAGACUUGGUUUAGGUAAUCCUUACUUGGCUUGCUCAGUGGAACCCCCCCUCCCUCACUAGCAGCUAAGAACUGGCAUCCCUGGGAAGACAGCUGCUUCCGCCAGGAGCCCAGAUCCAGGAGAUUCUAGGAGUGCAGUCGCUGGGUCACAGAUAUGCAUAUACUCAGCACAUUCUUUCCCCUUUCCUCCUUCCCUGUCUCCUCUUGUUUUUGUUUGUUAUUACAGGCUCUGGCUCUCUGGCUCCUUCCCAUCUCAGAUGCACUAGUAGAGAGGCCAGAAGGGAGGAUGGCACCUGGGAUGCACACUCAAAGGGUUUCUUGGGCUAAGCCUGCGCUGCUUCGGGUGAGAGGUGCCGUGGAGAAGGAGAUGCUGGUUAGUAGAUGGAGAAAGCCUUGAAGAAAAACACCAACUACCAAUGAUGAGAAGGACCCUCACACUGCUCCCAAUCCAGCCAGAGAGAUAAUUGAGUUGGAAUUUUUCUUGGAAAGGAGUGGACAUAAUUAGAUAAGUAAUUUAUGUUCUCCCUCCCUACUUCCUUUCCCCAUCUUUCUUUCCCCCUUUCCUCCCUCCCUGUCUCCUCCUGGUUUUGUUUGGAUCUGGAAUGGCUCCAAAGACCCAUAUGUUAAAGGUUUGGUUGCCAUUGGUGACUUUAUUGGGAAGAGGUGAGAACUUUAGAAGGUGGAAGACAGUAGGUUACUGGGCUGUGUCCUUGAAGAGAAUAUUUUGUCCUUCACCUCUUCUUCUCUCUGUUGCUGCCUCCCAGACACCAUGAAGUGAGCAGCAUGGCUCCACCAUAUGCUUCCUGCCAUGAUGUUCUACCUCACCACAGGUCCCCAAAUCAAUGGAUCCAUGGAGCUAAGAAACCCUGGACUGAAACCUAAACCCUAAGUAACCCUGGACUGAAAUUCUGAGCCAAAAUAAAUCUUCCAACCUUUAAUCUGAUUCUCUCAGGUGUUUUGUCACAGUGUGAAAAGCUGACUUACACACUCUCCCUCCAUCACUGUCCUUCUCCCUUCCAUAUUUAUUGAGGAUGC
This 4055-nucleotide long non-coding RNA is filed under the name Marmota monax (woodchuck). The record is from RNAcentral. Lineage: Eukaryota; Metazoa; Chordata; Mammalia; Rodentia; Sciuridae.